This is a non-coding RNA of Parasteatoda tepidariorum (common house spider), 613 nucleotides long. NCBI's taxonomy places the organism in Eukaryota, Metazoa, Arthropoda, Arachnida, Araneae, Theridiidae. The record is from RefSeq and is a predicted model, not a curated record.
UUUAAAACAUUAUUUUUUUUAAAACACAGUUCUAUCCUAUUUUUUUAACUGUGUAUGUUUUUUCCCUUAACAGGUUGAUGCUAUGAAAAAAACAGAAAGAGGAACAAGAAAUGGAAUUAGAGAUACAAAAAAAAGGAACUGAAUGAAAAGCGGGUAGAAUUGAAUGAGUUAAGGAAAGAAAAGUCCCAAAUGGAAAGCAAACUCAAUUCAAGCAAAACUCAACUUGAUGUAUUGACUUCUUGUUUUACAAAGUAGCACCCUUCAGAUUAAAAUUAAAAUGGACCAAAUUCUACACCUAAUGAUGACAUAGCCUGUAUUUCACCAACAUUACUUGGAACAUUAAGUAACACAUUAAAGUACUUAGUUAAAGAUUGUGAUCCAAAUAGUGGAGAACAAGAUGAUGAAGAAGGCUAUGAAGAUGAAUAUGUAGUGAGUAUUCUUAUUUAUCUUAAAAUGAUGGCUCAAGGAAUGACUCUAUAACAGUUGUGUACAUUCCUUUUUGCUGCAAUGAUGGUGUGUGUAUGAAUUUUCUAUGGAGUGCCUGAACAAUAUAUAUCUAUGCACAUAAGUUAAAAAUGAACAGAAAAUAUGGAAAAUAUUAAAGAUUAAUGAA